AGGUUAAGUUAACAAGGGCGCAUGGUGAAUGCCUUGGCACUAGGAGCCGAUGAAGGACGGGACUAACACCGAUAUGCUUCGGGGAGCUGUACGUAAGCUAUGAUCCGGAGAUUUCCGAAUGGGGCAACCCAGCAGUUUUAAUCAACUGUUACCACUAGAUGAAGUCAUAGUCUAGUUGGAGGUAAACGCUGUGAACUGAAACAUCUCAUUAGCAGCAGGAAUAUAAAGAAAUUUCGAUUCCCUAAGUAGCGGCGAGCGAACGGGGAACAGCCCAAACCAAAGUGCUUGCACUUUGGGGUUGUAGGACUGAACAUU
This 315-nucleotide ribosomal RNA is filed under the name Bifidobacterium longum. Its description in RNAcentral is "partial 23S ribosomal RNA". It matches the Rfam family "Bacterial large subunit ribosomal RNA", at positions 1 to 314 of the family's 2925-position model. The record is from RNAcentral. Lineage: Bacteria; Bacillati; Actinomycetota; Actinomycetes; Bifidobacteriales; Bifidobacteriaceae.